GACGAACGCUGGCGGCGUGCUUAACACAUGCAAGUCGAACGGAAAGGCCCUGCUUUUGUGGGGUGCUCGAGUGGCGAACGGGUGAGUAACACGUGAGUAACCUGCCCUUGACUUUGGGAUAACUUCAGGAAACUGGGGCUAAUACCGGAUAGGAGCUCCUGCUGCAUGGUGGGGGUUGGAAAGUUUCGGCGGUUGGGGAUGGACUCGCGGCUUAUCAGCUUGUUGGUGGGGUAGUGGAUUACCAAGGCUUUGACGGGUAGCCGGCCUGAGAGGGUGACCGGCCACAUUGGGACUGAGAUACGGCCCAGACUCCACCGGGAGGCAGCAGUGGGGAAUAUUGCACAAUGGGCGGAAGCCUGAUGCAGCAACGCCGCGUGCGGGAUGACGGCCUUCGGGUUGUAAACCGCUUUCGCCUGUGACGAAGCGUGAGUGACGGUAAUGGGUAAAGAAGCACCGGCUAACUACGUG
Molecule: ribosomal RNA, 468 nt
Filed under: uncultured bacterium
Lineage: Bacteria
Description: partial 16S ribosomal RNA
Rfam family: Bacterial small subunit ribosomal RNA
Source: RNAcentral